This 221-nucleotide unclassified non-coding RNA is filed under the name Hevea brasiliensis (rubber tree). The record is from RNAcentral. Lineage: Eukaryota; Viridiplantae; Streptophyta; Magnoliopsida; Malpighiales; Euphorbiaceae.
AGAUUGGUGAUGAUGGUGAAUGGAACCAUCACAAAUGUGUUCGUCCAUUCUUCGAAUAUGCUCUUCUUGCUGGGGAUUAUUGCUAAUGCUUCCAGCUGGUUUGCUCCACAACUUAGUCUCUUGAUGAUUUCCCGUUCAUUCGUGAUAUUAUUGGCCGGAGAUUCUUGGCUCAAGUCCACCAUCUCAAUCUCAUGGCUGCUAGGACUCUUUGAUGGGUUCCA